Molecule: long non-coding RNA, 20724 nt
Filed under: Citrus sinensis (sweet orange)
Lineage: Eukaryota; Viridiplantae; Streptophyta; Magnoliopsida; Sapindales; Rutaceae
Description: long non-coding RNA (CSIN_LNC004479)
Source: RNAcentral
UUUUGUUUUUUUUUUUUUUGUUUGCUUCUAUUUAUGUUUCAUUUGAAAGAAAGAAAAUCUUGUGUUUAUAAAAAUCUUGUGUUUAAAAGGUCAAUAUAAAUAUAAAGUAAUAAUUUUUGGUUUUUUGGUGGAUCAGUCAAUAAGUUUUAGGUCCGGCAUCUUAAAAAAUUUGAAAUCUCCUUUCAAAAUGUUGUUAAUUUGAUUUUUCAUACACAAAAUAUGUUCUAAAGUACCAGAUAAUUUUCAUUCCAACACAAUUAAAAUUUAUCAUUUUACCUCGUAAAGUUUUACCAUACUUGACAAUUUUAAGGUAUGCUUAUGCUGGCUCUUAGCAAAUACUUGCUAUAGUCUUUAAUAAAAUUUUCUUUUAUAGCUGAGUUGUGGUUAAAAAUAAUUGCUAUUGAGCUUAUAGUUUAGUAGAUGAAAAAAUAAUUAAUAUCAAAAUCAAUCUUACUUUAAUUUCAAUUUGGUUAGUUUCUUGUCAAUGUAGUUCAAUGGGUUGGUCUCAUUCUUUUAGAAUAAAGAAACAAAAUGUUAUGGUUUAAAAUGAUACGCUUAGUGUGGAGCGGCGUGCGGUAUACUUAAAAAAAAAAAAGUGCAAAUACUUAUAUAUUAAACAAAUUAUAAUGUUGACUAUUGCGAUGACUUUUCAAACAUACAAGCAAUGUGAAAAUUAUUUUUACGUGUUGAUUACAAUUUAAGCAAUCAAACCCUACUUUGCAAAAACGAUUACAAGGAAUCCAUAUUAUUUGUAAGAAAUUUAAAUAAAGAAGAAGUUUAAGCAAUUAGUCAAUUACAUUUUCAUUAAUUUCUUUACUUUUAAAUCAUGAUUAUCUUUUAUCUUUAAAAUUACUAUAACAUAAGUUUAAUUUAAUUAUUUUACCUCAUAAAAUAUAAUGGUUAAAUUCCUCAAAAAGAACAUGUGCUAUUAUUUCAUAAUAAUUUAGAUGUUACCUAAAUAAUCAGAGGCGAAGCUAUUGGUAUCUCUAGGGCGGCCCAAGACACCGCCAGCUCAAAAAAGGGCAAAAAAAAAAAAAGUUCUAGGAAUGAUUAAGAUGGUUUAAAAAUUUGCCCAUUUGUGUAAAUUUUACAUUUGGCCUCCCAUUGUUUAGACAAUUUUGUUUAGGCCAUUCAAUUUACUAUUUGUCUAUUAUAACCCCCAUUGUUGGCUCUUCAAUUUUAUAACUUUUGUGUUAUAACCUAGUCAAGUUCGUUUGUUUUCAUUUUGAUCCCUAUAAAACUAAAAUCCUUAAUCCGCCGCUAUAUAAUCUAAUGUUUUUAAAUGCCCAUCUGUCAAAAUUUUGAAAUCCUGAUAUAUUUCAUAAGAUAUGACAUUUCAAGGAGAUUUUCUUAAUUUAAUCGAAAAUUUAUAAUUAUACUGAUAAUUAGUGUGAAUAAAUCAUUUACAAUUAAAAAUUUAAAUUUUGUUAAAAACUUUAUUUUUUUAAAUAAUUUUGUGGGUAUUUUCAUACUUUUACCUUAAAUAAUUAAUUUUUCUUAAUGUUCUUCCAAUCUUAAUAUCAAAUGUCGUAAAUAGUCCUAAAUUAAAAAAAAUAAAUUAGAUAAUCAUGAUUUAGCUAAUUGAUUGUGUAAAUUUCUUCUAAAUGUGAAUUUUUUUAAAUAAUACAGUUUUUAUAAUUAAUUCUUUUAAGUGGGGCGCAUUUCUAUUAAUAGACUAAGUGGUGUAAUUGAUACAACUCAUCAUUUUUAUGAAGAAAAAAAACUUAUGUAAAACUGUUUUAUCACGUGACCGUAUAGAUAUAAUAAGUAUCAUCCAGCAAACCUUUGACGCAUAAACCUAUCACUUUAAAUUAAAAAACUAUCUCUCUCUUUCAUGUAGUAAAGAUUGGUUGGAUGAUCUUAGCACGGUGAAUCAUAUGGUAGGCUUAUCCUAUAUAAUUUUUUCUUAUUUAUCGAGGACAUAUCUACCGGCAUGGGUAAAUAGACAAUUGACCCUAUAACUUUUUUAAAAUUUUAUUUUUGAUUUUUUUAAAAAAAUACACCAAAUAAAAUAUUAAAUAUUAAAACAAGUUAUAUAAUUUCUGCUCAAAAUUAUUUCUUCCUUUUAGUGAUAUAUAAUAAAUCGUAUAAAAAGUGAGUUAUCUUGUUGUCCCUUAUAGUCAAUUUUCUUAACUCCACCCCUAAGUUCAUAGCUCUUUUUCACUGAUCUAAGCUUCAUCAUCAAACCCAACUUUAUACCCCUACACAAACAACAGAAUAUGAUCUAAAUCUCGAUCCUAGAUCCCUUAGUUUGCUUAUGGUAGGUUAGAUAAUCAUCACGCGUUUUCAAAAUUUCAUGUAACUUCUGAAUUAUGUUGAGUUUGUCAAAACCUGAGGGGAGGCAUGUGAAAUUACUCUGUAUUUAAUUUUAAACAAACAAGCAGUUUGUACAUUUUACGGCAGCUUAUUUUAUUUUUUCUUCCCAAAACCUCAAGAUGACGUGGCAAUGGAAAUUACUCGACUAUGCGAUUGAAAAUUCAACUAGAAACGAAGAGAUUUUCUUCUCUCUUGUCUCUCGGACGCCAAUUGACCCGAAAAAUCAACGAGAAUGGAGACAUCGGCGGCGUCAGGUGGCCCCGGCGGACUAGGAGGAGGGCCGGCGCCGUUUCUUAUAAAGACUUACGACAUGGUUGACGAUUCAUCAACGGACGAGAUCGUGUCUUGGAGCGACAACAAAAACAGUUUUGUUGUUUGGAACCCACCUGAAUUCGCUCGUCUUCUGCUUCCAACUUAUUUCAAGCAUAACAAUUUCUCUAGCUUCAUUCGACAGCUCAAUACCUAUGUGAGUUCAUUUUCAAUUUAUUUAUUUUUUUCAGUUUCAAUAUCAGUCUCAAUUUUUUUAUUUAAUUCAGUCUCAAUUUUUUUAUUUAAUUUUGAUUUAUUUUUUUCAGUUUCAAUAUCAGUCUCAAUUUUUUUAUUUAAUUUUGUUUUUUUUUUUUUGGUUUCGUUAUGAUUCUAUCAUAUUACUUAUAUCAAGCUAUUUGAUAAUUUCAUAACUCUGUGCAUAAAUUGCUGCAAUUGUUAUGAAUUUACAUGGGGAAAAAAAAAGUUGGUCAACGCUUUAAAAGGCUCUUAAAUUAUAAUUUGCAAUCGGAAAUAAUUGUUUAUUUGGUAGCUAAAUGUGUGAUCUGGUAGGUGCAAAUUAUUAUCAACAAGUCAUUUCUAUGGAACCAUGAUAAUGCAGUAUGAGUUUGUGAAAAUUUGCUUGGAGCUGCUAAGGUUGGGGUGUGUGGUGGUGACUGCUAAGACAUCGUGUCAUAUGUAGUUCUAACAGAAUUUGUCCGUUCAUACUCUUCUUUAUUUUCACUUGGUGUAUUUGUGUCCUUUCUCGAAGUUGUAUUCCUUUUGGUUAUGUGCUAAGUUUUCAGAUCUUCAAUGAUGAAGAUGGGGUGUUCUAGGUUCCACCUUAGUUUUUGUGUAAAAGGAACAUUUCUUAUAAGACCUUGCUGAUGAAAAAGUUACAAUAAGUUUGUUUUGUACUAUGAAAUGUGAUAAUUUGUUUCAGUUACAUUGGAUGAUAGAUAUGUAUAUUCCCAUAAGCAUGCACACCACGCAACAGGUCCUAACUUUAAUGUAGAUUCCUUUAAUUGGGAAAUAACUGUAUUGCAAUGUACAUUGUAUGGACAGCUGUAACUUUGAACUGGCUCUUUUCUCUUUUUUUUUUUUUUUUGGGUUCAAUUAGAUGAUAGUUUCAAAAAUUUGAAGUUAAGUCCUUAGAUCUUAGUGCAGCAUACAUAGUCUGGCAAUCAGUUAUGGUUUCUGUAGCUGAAGUCUGAUAAAAAUUACAAAUAAUUAAUUUUAUGACUUGGUUGAUGAGUGGUGGUGACUAGCUCAUUUGGCCUCCUUUAAGCAUGUUGGAGGUCAGCAUCCGACAUAUAUCCAUGUGGCCGUAGAUGUAAAUAAUCUAACACAUGGUUUGCAUAUGUUGUUUGGUCAACUCUAUGCUUAAUAGAAGUCUCGGAAAGUUUGUUUCAUUAAAGUGAUCUCGGAAAAUCUUGUUUUCUUGUGUCACAAAAUUCAAUAGAAGCAUUUUUAUAUAAUUUAAUAAUCUUAUACUGGAUUUAUGAUUGGAAAAAGGUAUGUAAAAGUAAGACCUUUUAAUUUUUUUUUUUUUUUUCCUCUUGUUGAAAGUUAGACAAAAUAAAAUAUACUAUCCUUCUUGUUCGUAUAUGAGCUGGUGCAUGUGAAUUUUCCAUAGUAUAUUAUUCACUACAUACAAGCAAUUUAUUUGCAAUCCAAGUUUUGUUAGGUUACUACUAGGGUACCAUUGCCUUCUAAAAAUAUGGCAACAAAAGGGUUUGCAUUUGAGCUGAAAAAUGACUUCUUAAACUAAUGCUUAUGAUCCCACUAGAAAUACAAAUGUUAAGCUUGUGAUGGCUUCUUUCUUUAUUUCCUUUGCAUAACGAAGCAUUGGUUUGUCAAUAUCAAUAAGUUUGUGGUCCUAUCUCCAAACUUUCCACUUUUAGUUAUUAUACAUAAGCAUUUGUAUGUACCUUUAUGGCUUUACCUGCUGGUAGUGAGCUGUUGCUGCAUUGUGAAAGUUAGUUAUGAUAUUUAGAGAAUACUUUUAUAACAGUAACACUAUGUUGCCAUUAUGUAGAGGCAAUGUACUAUAGCCUGAGUUUACAGAUUAUUGUAACUCUUACAUUGGAAUUUUGGACGUGGUUUCGGUCACGUCUUAGGAACUAUUAGUCUCAAUCAAACCAUAAUAAAGCCUUUCUUGAGAGGCAUUUUUAUCACAUUUAGCUCUGCCUGCUGUUGUGUCCCGUUGUAUGUAUUCUGCACCAGUAACCGUAGCUCACUGUAUAGUUAUUUCAGACUCUGGAGCUGGAUCCAUGUGUAUUCCACACUCAUGCUCAAGAGUCAAGACAUGUAUUGAUGUCUGUGAUCUACAUAAUAUUGAAAACAGUUCUUUCAGGCUAUCCAUUUAUUUUGAUUUCAGAAACUCCUCUAUGACUCCUUGUUUCCACCGGAACAUGACUCCUUAGGUUGGUGAGAAAAAAUAUUGGGAAAAUAUUUCUAAUUCAUAGAAGUUGCAAUCUUUACAUUAUAUACUACUCUGACUAGGCUAUAUAAGGAAGUAAUAGGAAAUUAAGAAAAAUAAACUAUACAAGGAAAGAAUAAAUAUAUGUACACAAAAUUAGGCUACAAUCUCUGACUUUCAACACUCCUCAAGCUGGCUUGAAGAUAUCUAUUGUUCCCAGCUUGGAAUUCAGUGAUUGACAGACUUGUUUUGAUAGUCCCUUGUUGAGAAUAUCAGCUACUUGCUUUUGAGUAGUAACAUAUGGAAUGCAUAUCAGACCUCUCUGCAGCUUCUCUUUGAUAGAAGUGCCUAGCAAUCUCAAUAUGUUUUGUCCUAUCAUGUUGGACUGCAUUAUGAGCAAUGCUAAUGGCAACUUUAUGAUCAGAGUACAGUCAUUUAUCCAGCUUUCCACAUCUUCAACUCAUUAGAAACAUUGUCAGCUGCAUAAGCUCACAAAUCCCCAAUGCCAUUGCUCUAAACUCAGCUUCAGCACUUGAUCUUGGAACCACUGAUUGUUCCUUGCUUCUCCAAGUAACUAGAUUUCCCCCAACAAAUGUACAAUAACCUGAUAUUGACUUUCUAUCAACAAAGGAUCCAGUCCAAUCCGCAUCUGUAUAUGCCUCAAACCUUAGGUGAUUAUUCUUAGAGAAUAAAAUGCCUUUUCCUGGAGAUGCCAUCAAAUAUUUCAGUAUCCUAAACACAGCUUCCACGUGCUAUACAUUUGGGGAAUGCAUAAAUUGACUCACAACGCGUACUGCAAAUGUAAUGUCUGGACGAGUAUGACACAAAUAGAUUAGCUUUCCAACUAAGCUUUGGUACUGUUCCUUAUUAACCAAACUACUUUUAGUACUUACCCCAAGUCUAUGAUUGGAUUCUAUAGGAACAUCGCUAGGUUUGCAUCCUAACAUCCCAGUUUCUUUCAAGAGAUCCAAAAUAUAUUUCCUUAGUGACAAAAAUAUCCCUUUCCGAGACCUGGCCACUUCAAUUCUGAGGAAAUAUUUCAGAGAACCUAGGUCUUUAGUUUCAAACUCUUUGGUUAACAACCUCUUAAGUCUUUCAAUUUCAUCUCUGUCAUUUCCAGUCAAGAUAAUAUCAUCCACAUACACGAUAAGGAUAGCGAGCUUAUCUUCAUAACCAUGCUUGGGAAGCAUGGUAUGAUCACUAUGGCUUUGUAAAUAUCCACAUUUGCGAAUAAAUCUCACAAAUCUGUCAAACUAGGCUCUAGGUGAUUGCUUGAGCCCAUAUAAAGACUUUUUCAGCUUGCAAACUUUGCCUCUUUCAAAAUAUUCUCAAACCCUGGUGGUGGAUUCAUAUACACCUCCUAUUCUGAAUCUCCAUGGAAAAAUGCAUUCUACACAUUUAGCUGCUGUAAUGGCCAUUUUAAAUUUGUAGCAAGUGACAACAGGACCCGAAAAGAGUUAAUUUUUGUAACAGGGGCAAAUGUCUUUCGGUAAUCAAUUCCAUAUGUCUGAGUAUAUUCCUUAGCCACCAGUCCAACCUUGAAUCUCUCAAUUGAUCCGUCAGCCUUAUGCUUAACCAUGAAUACCCAUUUACAACCCACGGUUCUCUUUCCAGAAGGCAAGUCUGCAAGAGCACAAGUUCUAUUUUUAUACAAUGCUCUCAGUUCUUCACAAAUCGCUUCUCUCCACUUUGGAUUUGCAAGAGCAUCCUGUACUGUUCUAGGAGUAGUUACAGAUGACAGAUUAGUAGCAAAAGCUUUAAAUGAUGGUGACAAUCUAUGAUAAGAGACAAACUUAGAAAUAGGAUGUUUAGUGCAAGUUCCAACACUUUUUAUAUGAGCGAUAUGCAAAUCUAAAUCCAAAUGAAAUGAUGGGAGAGAGUUUAAAUGUAAUUUAGACUCAGAUUGAACAAUACCGGUGUCUUCCAACAACUCUAUGUUCGAUUCAGAAUUCUGGCAGUCGGGAGAUGUACAAACUGUUUUAUUUCGUUGAGAAUACACCUUUGGCUUUUGAGCAUCCUCUAGAUUUCGUGUGGUGGAUGGUUGAAUUUGUGAAGGCACUUGCUGGUCAUCACUUGGGUUAGGUUGUUUCUGUGGGGAAGAGCAAUCUUGUUCCUCUUGCUGAUUGUUAUUGGAAGGUGGCAGAUUUUGUGGAGAGCAAACUGUCAAAAGGAGAAGUUGAAUUUGUGAUAUUAUCUCUAAAAGAUGUCUCACCUGAGUAUGUGGAUUUUGGAAAAAACUUGCAAAACUGAUCUUCCAUAUUAUAUUCCUCCCCCUGAAGAUAGGUUUUGGAGAAAUAAGUCUUAGUUUCAAAAAAAAAAAAAAAAACACAUCCGUGGUUACAAAACAUUUCCUAGUUGGAGAAUGAAAACAUUUGUACCCUUUUUGUGUAGGAGAAUAACCUAAAAACACAACUUGAGAGACCUAGGAUCAAGCUUACUUUUGUCAUGAUUCUUAUCAUGAACAAAAGCAACACACCAAACAAUUUAGGAGAAAGAACUAAAGAACCGAGACAUGGGAUAAAGUUGCUGAAGAAGUUUGAUUGGGGUUUUAAACUUCAAAGUACUAGUAGGGAAUCUAUUUAUGAGAUAACAGGCAGUUAAAACCGCUUCACCCCACAAAUAAUUUGGUACCCCUAUAGUAAACAUCAAAGAUCGAGCAACUUCAAGUAACUGUAUAUUUUUUCUUUGUGUGAUUGGGGAGUAUCAACACAAGAGAAUUGAUGAACAAUUCCAUUCUCAGUCAAAUAGUUUCCCGAGAUAGAAGAAAAAAAUUCUUUGCCAUUGUUAGUUUAAAACACUCCUAUUUUUCGCUUGAGAUUGGGUUUGAACCACUUUAUGGAAGAUUUGAAUAGUUUUAGGAACUUCAGAUUUUUCUUUUAAUAAAUACACCCAACAAGCUCGAGUAUGAUCAUUAAUAAAAGUGACAAACCACUUAGCUCCAAAAUUAUUGGCACAGAGAGGACCCCAUACAUCACUAUGUAUAAGAGAGAAACUUUAUAAGUUUGGGCAGGAAAAUGUGUACGAUGAUGCUUGGACAAUUCACACACUUCACAUUUAAAUAAUGUUGGGAACAACAACUUUAAAUAUGAAAAAUUUGGAUUUCCUAAUCUGAUUUGCAACAAACUAGUGUCAUGCUCACUAGGCACUUGAGAAACAAUUUUGUCAACUAAGGAUAGAUUACUCAAAGCUUCAGGCUCCUCUUCCAAAUAAUAAAGUCCAUCCACCUCCUUAGCAUUGCCAAUCUUCUUCCCCGUACAUAGGUCCUGAAAUUCACAAUUGUAAGGAGAAAAUUUAGCCAUACAGUUAAAGUCUUUUGUAAGCUUACUGACAGACAAAAGAUUACAAGACAAAUUAGGGACGUGCAACACUGAUUUUAAGAUCAUUGUUUUAGAAGCUGAAAUUGAAUCUUUUCCUGCAACUGAAGAAAGAGACCCAUCAGUGAUUUUUGCCUUUUCUUUACUAGAAAGAGGCGUGUAAGUAGAGAAUAAGUUGGACAAAGUAAUCGUAUGAUCGGUUGCCUCUCAAUCAAUGAUCCAAGGCCAAGUAGUAGUUGAAGAGAUACUGAAAGCAUUUAAAAAAUUAUCUGAUUGGGCUAGAUCAGAAGAAGAGGUUUUGACUCAUGAACCUGACAAGUUGCUUAAGUUGGCCCUUAGUGAACAGAUUUGAUCCUUGAUUCCAUGAGUUUGCAUUGGCGUUAUCAGUUGCAGCUUGAAAACCCUUUGAAUUUUGUCCAGAAGACUUGUUAUCCUUCCCCCAGUUUUAUGGCCUUCCAUGGAGCUUCCAGCAAAACUCGUUGGUAUUUCUUGGCUUAUGGCGAUAUAUCACACCAAAGUUUAUUCUUGUCAUCUUUCUUCUUGCUCAUAUUCUUUUAUUCACCUACCAAUGCUGAAUCAGUAGCACAUUAAUCAAGGCAGAAUUAUCAGUAUUAGGGCUGGUCAUCAUUACCUUUCAUCUACUUUCUUCCCUUCCGACAUAUGCAUAGACUUCCCUAAUUGCAGGAAGAGGUUCUUUGCUUAGUACUCGUCCCCUAACUUCAUCCAAAUCUGGAUUCAAUCCAUCCAAAAACUCAAACACCCUCUCCUUCUCCUGUAACCUCUUAAAUUUUUUACUGUCAUCUCCACACUUCCAUUCUCCAUCAGAGUACAAAUCCAUUUCUCGCCAUAAGCUAUUCAUGAUAUUGUAAUAUACUGUUACAGUGUCACUUCCUUGUUUGGUUUCAUGAAUACGACACUUAAGUUUAUACAACUGUGUAGUAUUUCCAAUAUCAGUAUAUGUCUCUGUGACUGCAUCCCAUAAAUCUUGUGCUGAUGGUAAGAAAAGAAACGCUGACUAAUGUGAGGGUCCACUACAUUACCAUAGAGUUCUGUUCAUCCCAGAUUUUAUACAAAGGGUCGUCAGCCUUGGUAUGUCUAUUGACCCAUCUAGAGAGCCCACUUUACCUUUUUCCUUCACAUACAACUGUGAGACUUCAUGGACUGUGACCACUGCAGAAAGUUUUGGCCAUUCAAUUUGUGAGUUUAAUCGGCAAUGACGGAUUGUCAACAGAACUAUUGGCCUGAACAUGUUUAACAUUGACACCAGAGCUGGAUUCGCUCACAUCUGACAUUUUAAAUCAGAAUUUUGAAGUCACAGAACAAGAUAAAACCCUAGAGGUAUUGGUGGCUAAAAAAUUUGUUGACAAAAAAGAUGCCCAGGAACCCGAACGUGGGCUCUGAUACCAUGAGAAAAAAUAUUGAGAAAAUAUUUCUAAUUCAUAGAACUUGCAAUCUUUACAUUGUACGCUACUCUCACUAGGCUAUAUAAGGAAGUUAUAGGAAAUUAAGAAAAAUAGACUAUGCAAGGAAAGAAUAAAUAUAUGUACACAAAAUUAGGCUACAAUCUCUGACUUUCAACAGUUGGUUUUAUUUGGUUUCUCCGUAGGUUGGUUUAUUGGAUUUCUUUUACGUUGCUAUGUUGCUCUAUUACAAAUUUGUAUUGUUUACUUCAACUUUACUUGCUGAUUGUGGAUCAUUUGGGCAAUCCAGGAUCAUCUAUGGUAAGUUUUGAUAUUUUAGUAAAAUAUUAAUUAAACUUGGAUGAAUUUAUGUUAGUCCAAUCAGGAGGCAGAUUUAUCAUACUAUUGUUGUAGUCGCAAAUGUGGAUAAAUUGUAGUUUGAGUUUUCAAUUAGGAUAAGUAUGAUUUAACUGUGCCAAUGUGGAUGUUAUUCAAUGACAGGGAUUCCGAAAAAUUGAUCCUGAGAAGUGGGAAUUUUCAAAUGAUGAUUUUGUCAAGGAUAAAAGGCAUCUUCUUAAGAAUAUCCACCGCAGGAAACCUAUUCACAGCCACAGUCACCCUCAGACUCAGGGUUCAUCAGUGGAUCCUGAGAGAGCAACAUUUGAGGAACAAAUGGAGAGGCUUUCACAUGAGAAAUCUGCACUGGAGGCAAAUAUUGUAAGAUUAAAACAGCAGCGGUCAACUGCAAAGCUUCAGUUAGAAGACCUUGCACAGCGAAUUGAUAGUAUGGAUCAGAGGCAGGAGAAUUUGUUGACCUUCUUGCAAAAGGCUGUUCAGAAUCCUACUUUUGUUGAUCAUCUUGCCCGAAAAAUUGAGUCUAUGGAUAUCUCAGCAUACAAUAAGAAACGACGAAAACCACAAGUUGAUCAAUCAAAGCCAAUUGUGGAAAGUAGUCUUUUGGACAACAAUAGCUGUUCUACUUCCAGACCUGAGUCUGGGAAUAUUUUCCACCAAGAUUUCUCAAAUAAGCUCAGGUUAGAAUUAUCACCAGCUGUUUCUGAUAUUAAUUUGGUUUCACAUAGCACACAGAGUUCCACUGAAGAUAGGGGAAGUCCGCAGAAGAAAAUUUCUGAGGUGGAACCAAAAGUUGCACACACAAGAACAGAAGGCAAUUUAUAUGUGCCCGAAACAUUUGAACUUUCAGAUACUGGGACAUCUUUUACAUUUAAAAUGGACUCAACUUUCUCGAGAAAAGUACCAGCAAAUGAUAGCUCGAGAGUUUAUUCGUUGCAGCGGAGAUCGACUUCUAAUGAAGAGGUUGAUGGCCAUGUUUCUUGCCACUUGAAUUUAACUCUGGCAUCUUCUCCUCUGCAAAUCAACAAAGGGCUUCAUUCAUCUAGGAUGCCCCAGCCAAGUAAGGAUAUUGCCAAAACUACAGAAUUGAGGUACAAUUCUAAUGACGAGGAAUCUGAUACUAGACCAUUUCCUAGCAACAGGAAUCUGGGUCAUGAGGAUGCCUCUAUAGUUUCUCCUCAGGAGGCCCCAAACAACAAUCCUGCACCUGCAGCUGCCCCAGUUCGAGUAAAUGACGUAUUUUGGGAACAAUUCCUUACGGAGAGACCAGGUUCUUCAGAUAAUGAAGAGGCAAGUUCAAGUUAUAGGGCAAACCCAUAUGAAGAGCAGGAAGAUAAAAGGUCGGGCCUUGGAAUGUCCAGAAAUGCUAAGAAUAUGGAGCAACUCACACUUUGAUGAUCAAAGUGUUAAAACCCAGCAAAAGGUUUAUAGAAGUUUCUACCUAAUCUUCUCAUGGUUACUAAGAACUUGUUACAUGCCCUUAGUUCCAGGUGGUUGCAAGUAAUAAAUUGGUCAUCAUUACAUAAGUUUUUCAGUUCUGAAUACUGCAAUGGUCAUGUAGCAUGGCUUCAGUGCAUAAGUUGUAUAAAUCUAACACAUUAUAUACAUUUUGCUAACUGUGUAAUUGAUUUGAUUCAUGUUUCUGUGCCGCCCUCUGCUUCUUUUGUUGCAAAGUACACUGGGUUUUUUUGUGGUUUUGAUGUACAUGUCUGGGUUUUUUUGUGGUUUUGAUGUACAUGUCUGUGCCGCCCUCUGCUUCUUUUGUUGCAAAGUACACUGGGUUUUUUUGUGGUUUUGAUGUACAUGUUUUUUUUUUUGGUAAAAGAACUGGUCAUUAAUUAUGUAUUUGCAAGUUUCUAUUUAGAUGAAAAACUUUUUAUUGUUCCUAUAGAAUUCAUCCUCGUUAAUCAUUUUCAGUCGUUAAUUUCGUUACCAAACUAUCACCUAACCACCAUCAAAGAAGUAAUGUAUUAUAUUGGUUGUUUGAUUUAAAGAUUGUUCAUUAAUCAAUAUCUAAUGUUCUUGCGUUGGUUCAAGAUUUUGAACCAUUGAUCUUACAUUAUACUCGUUAUCAAUUGAUAAAGUGUGCAAGCUGACUGAAAAAGAAUGGAUGGGAAUUUGCUUUGACCAUCCCUAAAUUGUGGCAUAAUUACAUGAAGAACGAUGAUCUUUUUGAUAAUUAACUAUGUAAGUAUCUGUGAUAACUCUAGUUGGGCAUGUUAUCACCUCUCUCCUUGUCCGUUAGGGGAAGGAUUCUAGUAUUUCGGUAAUUGUUGUUUGAACAUUACAUACUUAUUGCUUAUUGUUUUUAAGGAAUACUACACUUAUAAAUUAAUUUUUAUAUAAAUUGACGUAGCAUAAUAUCAUUGAUUGAGUGAAAAUAUAAAAGUUAUGUCAUAUUAAUUUGUAUGAAAGUUUGUAGUAGUAUCAGUAAUUAAGAAUUAAGAGUAAUAUGAUAGCUAUAAGUUCUUGUACAAAUUAUUUUUGUACAAAUUAAUGUGGCAUAUCAUUGGUUAAGUGAAAAUAUAAAAUAAUAAGGGUAAUUCAUUUGAGUUAUGUAGUGUUUUUAUUCAACCAACCAUGUUAUGUCACAUUAAUUUGUACAAAAAUAAUUUAUAUAAGAGUUUAUAAGUUUAAUUAUUUUAAAUUUUAAAUUCAAAAAAUAUCUGUGAAUUUUUAUCGGCUCAAAGUGAAAACUUCCGAUUGUGUUUAAAUAAAGGGUUAUAGAGGUACAGCAAGCCGAUUAUGCACUUAUUAUAAUGUUAUUAAAAAUUUAAUGAUGUCCUUACAUCUUUCAACUUACAACCUUCCGAUUGUAUUUAAUCUUUGCUUGAGAAAGAUCUAGCGAAAUUAGAAAUCCCUGUGUAAUAAAUAUAAUUUUGAUGACUCAUAAUUCAUAAGGUGACAGUGAAUGUGUUUAUCCUUGUAAAAUCUGGAAAUUUGUAUAUUGAAACUAGGUUUAAUUUUUAAUUUUGUACACCUAAAGGUUUACUCAUCAUUGUGGGGAUAAUAUUGUUGUAAAUGAGAUUUAUAAGUUACGACUAGCGGUUGAUUUAUUCUCUUAAUACUUGGGAUCUGUACAUUGAAUAUGAGAUUCAAUGUCAUUUUUGAAAAACUUUGGGAUUUAUAAAUUGGAUCGGAUUUGAGUUUUACUGAUGUAAAAUUUUGGGUUCACUUUUACAAUAUUGCUGCAAAUGAGAUACGACGCAUUGAAAUUAGGUUUGAUGUUGUUCUCGUAAAUAUUAAAGAGUUUGUACAUUUGUUUUAGUUUGUACAAACUCUCGUACAAACUUAUUUUAUACAAACUGAUGUGGCAUGAUAAAAUUAAUUGAAUUAAAUAUCACUUAACCCACAUAAUUUAUUUAUAUUAUUUUAUAUUUUCAUUCAACUAAUGAAUUAAUGCCACAUCAGUUUGUACAAGAUAAGUUUAUAUAAGAGUUUGUAAUUGUAUCAUCACUCUAUUAAAUAUAUGAUAUUUUUACCUUCAUUUUUCUUUACUUUUACAAUAAUACCCUUAUAAGAAUAUUCUUAAUGACAAUAAUGAAAAGAAAAAAAAAAGUUGAUUACUCAAACUAACACUAAAUUAAAAUUAAAAUUAAAGUAAAUUUUUAUUAUUAUUUUAUUAUUAUUUUACUUUCUGAGUUAAUUUGGUAACUUAAUUUUUUUUUAAUUGCUAAUUAUUAGCAAAACAGUAGGAUAUUAAACGUAGUUUUCAGUUGACUGGUAUUAAUUUAUUUAUAAAUAAUUAUUAGAAAGAUUUUCACAAGGAUACUUUUAGAUUGGUAAUUAUCAGUCAAUUUAUUAAUUAACUUUUUUAUGAAUAAAUAGAUUAAUGCUUCGUUCCAAGGGUGUUAUUAUAGUACCGACAAAGAAAAAUUAAAGUUGAAAGCGUCCUAUAUUUAACAGUAAUAAUAUUUUAAGAUAUCUUUUAGAAUAUAAAGAUUAAAUAAAAUAAACACUUGAGAAUAAAACUAACAUUUACCCUUUAUUAUAUUAACCUUAUUAUUAUUUAUUUGCAAUUAAUGUUUUUUUUUUUUUCUCUCCAUUCGCUUUCCGCGAUAAUCCUCUCUAUAUAUCCAAACGCUUCAAUUUUCGAUCUCGAACACGACGAAAUAUAUAAAGAUCAACACGACUCACGAGUCUCUUCACCUGAAUUAUGAUUAACGUAGGUUGAAAAAUGUAGAAUUAAAACCUAAAAGUAAUUUGUCAAGCAUGUAGCUCACGCAAUACAUAAUUACGGCUAAAGCUACGUGACAUGAAAGCAAUUAACUUUUGAGUGAAGACUUUAAAACACAAUCAAUCCAAAAUUUUGAUUAUGUCUCUCUUUUACGUAUAGUAUUUGAUUUUUAUCAUCUAAAUUACUUUUAACUUAAUAAUAAUUAAUUAUAAGAAAUUCUUUUGUCGUCUUUGAUCGUGACCCACUUUGACUACGAGGGUUAAGUUCCAAAUAAUUGUAUGGAAAUAUCCCUAUCCAUAUCCUUGCUUCAAUCUUCUUCAUUCAUGAGAACAGCAUCUUCAAAAGCUAAAUAUAUUCAACAUCUCACCCACUUGUACUCCAAAAGAAAAGAGCUCAAUCAAUCAAUAUUGAACUAACAACUAAUAAACCAAAAGGCAGUAAGCAAACUAGCAAGCUAAGCAAAUGCAAAAAUAAAUUUUAUAUAUAUAUAUAUAUAUAUAAAAUAAAGGCAAAGAAGAAUCUUGAUUCUUGAUGUAAUUAAUGACUGUUGUUCAUACAAAUUCUUUUUUUCUAAAUAUAAAUCCAACGGCUAAGAUCUGCACCCAUUCUAGCAGACCCCACACCACAUUAUUACACUUGAUUUCACAGAUUUAAUACACAGUUAUCUGUUGUAUGUAUAUAUCAUCAGCAUCAUAAAAUCUACAUCUAUUAUGCUACACACCAUCAACAGCUUGCAACGAUUGAUCACCACAACAAUAUAAUUUAAUUCACCCAAAAAAUUUAGAAAAAAAAAAAACAGCCAAUAUAAUUUAAUUCACCCAAAAAAUUUAGUCUACAUCUAUUAUGCUACACACCAUCAACAGCUUGCAACGAUUGAUCACCACAACAAUAUAAUUUAAUUCACCCAAAAAAUUUAGAAAAAAAAAAAACAGCCAUAUGAUUGAUUAUCAAGCGGACUCAUCGGGAUGCUGAAUAGUAGAAGUAGUAGUACUAAAACCAUUUUCCUUUUUUACCCUCGGUUGAAUCCCAUAAUAACUAACGUACCAUUUGACGAACUUCCUCAGGCCGGCGGCCAGAUCAGUGGUGGGCUUGUACCCGAAGUCUUUGUAAGCCAAGCUCACGUUGGCAUGCGUAUACGGCACGUCCCCAUUUCUCGGCAUUCUUAUCACAUGCUUUUUGGCCUUAGUGUUCAACAGAUUCUCCAAUAUCGACACCAAUCUCCCCACGGGCACUGGCGACGUGUUUCCGAGAUUGUAAACUCUCAGCUGAGCGGGGCCCCGCUUCUUCCCCCCGCUCCCCGUGCUCUUCCCCGCCGUGUCCAACGCCCCGACACAGCCCUUCACUACGUCAUCUAUGUAUGUGAAGUCACGCGCCACCUCCCUGUCAUCUUGCGUCUUGUACACAUCAAUGGUUUUGCCCUGUAAGAUAUCUUUGGUGAAGAAGAAGUAAGCCAUGUCGGGUCUCCCCCAGGGGCCGUACACGGUGAAGAACCUUAGGCCCGUGAGGGCAAGACCGUAAAUAUGGUUGUAAGUGUGGGCGAUUUCCUCCCCGGCUUUCUUAGUCGCCGCGUACAAACUCGCGGGCUGGUCGGUUCUGUGCGACUCGGAGAAGGGGACCUGGGUGUUGAGGCCGUACACCGAGCUCGAUGAGGCCCACACGAUCGACGGCUGAGGGUUCACCGAUUUGCAAACUUCGAGCAGGUUGACGAAUCCAGCGAUGUUGGAUGCCACGUAAGAUUGCGGAUUCUGCAUGGCGUAGCGAACCCCGGCCUGUGCUGCUAAGUGCAGUACGUGGGUGAAAGGUACAACGUCGAAAAGCUUUGUUAACAGGGGAGCGUCAUUCAGGUCCCCUUCGACGAUGAAGACUUGAUGCUUUUGAAGCAGCUUUUGCCUCGCCCGUUUAAGCGACGGAUCGUAAUAGCUGUUGAAAUUAUCCAACCCCAAAACGCCAUCGCCUCGCUUUUUGAGAGCGAGGGAGCAGUGAGAUCCGACGAAACCGGCAGCUCCGGUGACCAAAACGGUCAUCCCGUUGGGGCGGCGAGGGGUGGCAGAGUGGCGGACCUGCUUCUCCCACUCUGCCCCGCCAGUGGAAAAGGAAGAGGAGAAGAACGAAGAGGAGAGAAGACUGUGCUGAUGAGUGAAUAAAUUACGUGGGUUAUUUUUAUUAUUACUGUUAUUGUCACCACUCUCACCAGUAUUGUCAGAAAGUGGAGGGUGAUUGAGUGUGAAGAAAAGGAUUAGAACAAGUGCAAUCAGAAUUGUGGCACGAAAAAAGAGUUUUGAAGAAGAGUGCAACAUUUUUGUGACAUGUAGCCUCCGGAGGUAACUGUUGUAGCGUUCUAGCUUAAUGGUUUUGCUUGUGUCUGGCGGAGAAGCCAUUAUUGGGAUUUUGUUUGUUGGGUUUAUUGCUUUGUUCUAAACUUUUGUGAGAGAGCCUCUCGCUAACAAGAUUAUAUUAUAAAGUGACAGACGAGUGUGGUGGACCAAAAUGGGUUGGAGACCACUUUCCUUUUCCUCAUUUCCUUUGCUACUUUUAAGGGAAAAUAACAAUUGCCCCCUCGCAGUUUAACAAAAUAACUACAGAGACUUCCUUACUUUUAGAAAUGAUCUGCAAUAAAGUUGAAUCACUGUAAUCUCAAAUAGGAUUGGUAAAAUUUCCCAAAUUCUGAUCAAGAUUCGGGAUCCCGACCCAUUUAGGAUGAAUUCGAGAUAAAAUUUUAUCUCAAUUUACUAUUUGGUCAAUAUUUGGGAUAUCUGAAAAUUUUUAUCAGGAUCCUAAAUGCUCCAAAAUUUGAGUUUUUAAAAAUGUAUGAUUAUUCAAUUUACUGAAUUACAUAUAUAUAACAUGCCGGUUAUGAUGUAUGACAAGUUAUUUUAAUUAAUAAUAUGUAUAUGACAUGUAUGUCAUGAGAGUAUAACAUGUCCUUUCUUCUUUUCUCCUUUCCUUUGUUAUUUUUAAGGGAAAAUAACAAUCACGUCUUCGUAGUUUAGCGAAAUAGUUACAGAGACUUCCUUGUUUUGAAAAAUGAUGGGAAAUUUACAAGAAUAACCUUAAAACUUUUGUAAUUUUUGAAUUUAACCCACCUAAUUUUUUUCUAUCAUAACUAGCCAAAUAUCUUAUUUUUGGACUAAAUUACCCUCACCACUUUCAUCAAAUUUACAAAUGCAUGCCACUCGAUAAAAUCCAACACAACUAUAAUGCUCUCAACCCUAAACAACUUAACAAACCUUCAUCACUCUCAAUAAAUCAACAAAUUCCAUCAAACAAACAUUGCAUAAUUGAAGAUGUAAUCAUCAAUUGGAGAGCUUCUUAAAAUUAGUUUAUACUCUUACACAAUUUAAACCUUUAAUCUAUUGAUUUUAUCAACUAAGUUCAAAAUUAAAGUGGAUUUUGUUGCAAAUGUUGUUAUUUUUCAUUCAUAAAAUAAUGUGAUUUGUUAAAGUACUUAGUUUGAGUUGAGAAAUGAAGAAAAAUCAUUGAAAACACAAAAAAUGGGGCAAAAAAUCAAGUUCAGAACAAGUGAGACAUGUAGUGGAACAAGUGCCUGUCUCACAUAAACACACUGCGUUUAUGUGCGACAGGCACCUAUCCCACUGCAUGUCGCACAUAAAUCCACUGGGUUUAUGGAGUAUAUGAUUUGUCUCGUCGUAAGCUUCGAAACGGUAUAUUAUACGUCUAAAACAAACACAUGUAUCCCAAAUUAUGGCUUUCAAAAAAUAUCUGAAAUUUAGUAAGACAUGCAUUUGUCCCACUGCCUGUCUCACCAAAUUUAGUGCGACAAGUAUUGGGACAAGUGUCUGUCACACAUAAACCCACUGGUUUUAUGGAGUAUAUGAUUUUGGAUUUGAUUUGUCUCGUUGUAAGCUUCGAAACGGUAUAUUAUAAACGGACACAUGUAGCCCAAGUUAUGACUUUUGGAAAAUAUCUAAAAUUUAGUGAGAUAGGCACCUGUCCCACUGCCUGUCUCACUAAAUUUGGUUAGACAGGCAGUGGGAUAUGUGUCUGUCUCACUUGUUCUGGGCUUCAUUUUUUGCCCGAUUUUUCUGUGUUUUCAAUGAUUUUUCUUCAUUUCUCAACUCAAACUAAGUAUUUUAACAAAUCACAUUAUUUUAUGAAUAAAAAAUAACAACAUUUGCAACAAAACCCACUUUAAUUUCGAACUUAGUUGAUAAAAUCAAUAGAUUAAAGGUUUAUAUUGUGUAAGAGCAUAAACUAACUUUAAGAAGCUCUCCAAUUGAUGAUUAUAUCUUCAAUUAUGCAAUGUUUGUUUGAUGAAAUUUGUUGAUUUAUUGAGAGUGAUGAAGUUUGUUGAGAGUGAUGAAGGUUUGUUAAGUUGUUUAGGGUUGAGAGCAUUAUAGUUGUGUUGGAUUUUAUCGAGUGGCAUGCAUUUGUAAAUUUGAUGAAAGUGGUGAGGGUAAUUUAGUCUAAAAAUAAGAUGUUUGGCUAGUUAUGAUAGAAAAAAUUAGGUGGGUUAAAUUCAAAAAUUGCAAAAAAUUUAAGGUUAUUCUUGUAAAUUUCCCAAAAAUGAUUUGCAAUAUAAUUGAAUUACUACAGUCUUAAAGGGCAUGAUUGACUAUUUUUAAGAAUAAAUAAAUCUCUAUUACUAUUUCACUAAAUUAUAGGGGUUAUCACUGUCAUUUUCGCCUGUCUUAAUAACCUCAGCUUGAGUAAUAAUAACCUUAGUUUUUCGAGAAUAAUUACAGAAAUGUCAAUGCGUUUUUGUAUUUUAAUGGAAUUGUGAAAAUGUUGCCAGCUAUCUUGGCCUGUAGAAAAACUGGCUUCCAUGUGAUACAAACGUGUUCUGAUGUAAAAAUAUUAAUUGAAUAUUUCUGAUAUUUGCUAAAUUUAUAGGCUAUAUUGCCCACUCAUUUCAUCAUACACAAUACAGGGACACCAUUUUGAACAGUAAUUAAUGUCAUCAUGUGACCAAAAUUUCAUAGAAUCUUCCUAUCUACUUCCGGCUCACUUAAUUAUAAUUUUCCAUUUUCGUGCCUUCGACCGACAAAAAUGCAACAUGGGUUUGCCCUAUAAUAUGUUCUUAGAAGGAAAAAAAAAAGAAAAGUUUUAAUGGUUAUAGGUUAAAAAAUAAUUUUGCACAAGUGGGUUGACUUGUCUUCAUUAAUUUACGAAGGUGCAUGCUUAAAAGCUCUGUAAUGGUAACAGAUUAUGCAGUUAAUGUGCAUGAUUUUUGCUUAAAUUAAUUUAGUUAACGGAGAGUUAGUUAAUAAAUCAAGAUUGAAUUAAAGUCAGAAACUGUUGCCGAAUGCCCAUAAUUUCCUUGAAAGUUCCUGCAAUGAAUAGACAAAUUGCGCGUCGGUGGUCUAAAUCCUUUCAUCAUCAACUUUUAUAAUGCAAUCGGUGAGCUGGAUUUGGAGCUUUGUCCAAUUUUUGUCAGUUUACAGCACUAGUUGGCCCUAUUUUUGAAAGUUUCCUUCGGCAAUGGAUAGGCACAAACUAUUUUUUGUUUUUUAGUGGUAAUAGAAUUAUAAAAUAAAGGUGUUCAUCACUUAUAACUCUUAAUAACUAAUUAUCAGGAUUAUAUAUAGGUGAUAAUUUCAUGUCAUCUAUCACAUUUGUAGGCAUAUAAAUUUUACAUUCCAACUUUACAAACCAAAUCAGAAGUCUUACUAAACCUCUUAAUUUAUUUAUGUAGUGUUGCAGUGUUUAUAAAUUGAGUCACUUUCAUAUACCUCUUAAAUUAGCUCUAUAGUGUUUCAGUUUGGUCUAACUCUAUGAUAUUUAGACCAAAAACUAAUUACUAGACUAUAUGAGAUAAUACCACAUCAUCUAUCACAUUCAUGGAGAUAUAAAUUUUAUAUUCCAACUUUAAAAAUUGAUUAUUGCAAUUAGACAUCUUCUUGAACUUCUUAAUUUAAUUAUGCGAUACUACAGUCUGGAUAAUGAAGAUUCUGAUUAUGAACUGAAUCUACUUUUAAGUAUUUCUUAAAAUAACUCUAUAAUGUCUCAAUUUAGGCCAGCUCUAUCGUAGACCCAAAAUAAAUUGAAUUUACUUCUAAAUAUUUAAAAAAAAAUCAACCUAAGCAAAUCAAAUCCUUAACUUAAAACAUAAGGCAAGGUGUCCACCACUCAAGUGGUUUGCUUUAAAGGGCAUAGUUAUUAGAAGUUUUUAGUUUAAUAAUCUUAGUCUUCUUUUUUUUAAGAGUUAAUACAUUUGUUAAAAUUAAAGGGCAAAUUUAUUAGAGGUUUUCAAUUUAAUAAUCUUACUUUUUUUCUAGAGUUAAUACACUUGUUAAAACUAAUGAGAAUCAGGAAUUACAUUUUGUGAAGUCAGAUGAAUUGAUUUCAACUAAAGUGUGUGAACAUAGAGAAAUGACAGAAUAUCCACUCCAACUUGGCCUCAUUCCAUAUAAGAGUGAAUAAAAAUUGAACUAAUAGUAAAGUUGUCACAAUUUUUGAAUAAUUGACAAAAUUUACCUAAAAAUUUUUCUUGUUAGAGUUGAGAUGGAGUUUUUUUUUGUGGGAGUGCAUAUGAUU